Non-coding RNA from Schizosaccharomyces pombe (fission yeast), 523 nucleotides. The record is from the annotation of a GenBank genome assembly. NCBI's taxonomy places the organism in Eukaryota, Fungi, Ascomycota, Schizosaccharomycetes, Schizosaccharomycetales, Schizosaccharomycetaceae.
AAUUUUCAACGUUGUUUUGCUAGGUCUUAUUUGCCAAUACUGUACAGGCAAUGUUAUUAUAGUCGUUUAAAUAACUGCAUUCCUUCACUUUCAUCGUAAACAAAUUCUUUUUAAAAAAUUGAGGCAUUAACAUUUCAACAAUGAGACUAUACUUAGAGUAAGCAUAGGGAUAUGUAGGAAAAGGAUUGAACUUCGUCAAAAGUUUAGCGACUGUAAACAGCACGUCAAAAAUUAAAAGCUCAGCAACGGCAUCGCUGCUUCUCUUUUCCAAUCUUUUAACUCAGAAAGCGUAUAUAGUUUCGAUUGCACAACAGACGAAGCUGCCAGAUUAAAAACCUUACCUCGAUAAUCUCUGGACUCAUCUCAGCAGAGGUUCGGUGCAUUUAAUAAUUACAUUUUUUUUGGCUAAAGUAAGGUGCAGCGCGAAUAUGGAAUUAUUUUUUUAUGUUAAGUAUUUAUGUUUGUUCACAGCCAAGACACGAUCAUUGCCAGUAGCUCUUCUAGCUUCAAAAGAGGGAAAUAG